AAAACUGGUUUUUUAGGAUAGAUUCAAAUAAUUAUAAUCCCAUGAUAGAUCUCCUUAUGUAAUUUUGAGGUCCCUGUAAUUUUGUGGGAGAAAAAAAUGAACAUAAAAGUGAUGACAGUUUGGGGUUUUUUUGUGAUACACAAGUGACUUGGAGUACAAGAGGUUGUUGAAGUGUGAUGCUUGAAAUGCACAGUCAGGAUGUGAAGGUGAUGGCCAUCACUGAUCAUCUCUGAUGGUGGCUCCCCAAAAUCUAGAGUGUGAUUGGUUUCAUUUACAUGGGUGAAAGAAGACAUGGAUGUUUCACAUCCAUGGUAUCCCAAAGGCCAGAGGAAAGACUGAAUCUCCUUCUCUAUAAGUUACUAAAACUCUGCCAGAAAAGAUGGCUCUUCAACAAUUGGCAGAAAGGAAAAAAAAGGAGAAGGCCAAUCUAACCUCCUGAGGGAUAGCAUUCCACAUCCAGAGAGCCACCACAGAGAAGGACCUAUCCUGUGUCAGGCAGACACUAAACACAUCAAGAGCUGUGGUACUCAACACUCUGAGUUCAGGGUUAAACCAUUCCUGCUCUCCAAAUUCUAAAUAUGUAUAGGCAGUAUUUAUGAUUCCUCCUCACUCUCUAGGUUCCUUUUGCCCUCUGAGCACCUUGUACUUUCAGGGAUGAAGCUCACUAUAAACAUACCAGGGUUCCCAUGGUAACACUUUGUGGCUCCAUCUUGAGUCACAAUGGAAAGCUUAGCUAUAAAGAGGCUGGCACUCAGGCACAUGGCCCAAAGGACUUGGGGCUGGCCCAGCCCACAGAUGGUGCUCCAGCAACUCUCCCAUAACUGGCACGCCUGAUCUGCCAAAACAAAAUGGCGCGAUUCCAUCGCAGUAGAAGCGAGAGUAAUAGCAGACAGUGCCGCUGGAUGAGGAAAAGGGGACGCCGUGGGGGUAGCUCGGGACGGCGGCGAAGGGGAAAGAGGAGAGGAAGAAGUGGCAGAAAGAAAGGCAGAGGCCGCAGAGGAAGGAGAAGGAGAAGAAGACAUUAAACUUCAAAGGCAAAAGCUGUUGCCCUGUUCAGUCUCUGCUUUACAACACUGAAAUUCAUCUCGUCCAGUGACCUCUUAGACGACACCCUUCUUCUAACAAGAUGCCAGCAACUUACUUGAGAGUGAACAGUGUCCAUCUGUCAAUAAAGUGAAAUACCACCACUAUCGCCA
RNAcentral lists this long non-coding RNA (1196 nucleotides) under Pogona vitticeps (central bearded dragon). RNAcentral's name for it is "lncRNA (ENSPVIG00000001392.1)". Lineage: Eukaryota; Metazoa; Chordata; Lepidosauria; Squamata; Agamidae. The record is from RNAcentral.